Molecule: ribosomal RNA, 494 nt
Filed under: uncultured bacterium
Lineage: Bacteria
Description: partial 16S ribosomal RNA
Rfam family: Bacterial small subunit ribosomal RNA
Source: RNAcentral
GACGAACGCUGGCGGCGUGCUUAACACAUGCAAGUCGAACGGAAAGGCCUGCUUUCCCUUGUGGAUUGCGGGUACUCGAGUGGCGAACGGGUGAGUAACACGUGAGUGAUCUGCCCCCAACUUGGGUAUAAGCCUGGGAAACUGGGUCUAAUUCCCGAUAGGACUGCAGGGUGGUGCCUGUGGUGGAAAACGAUUUUCUAGUGGUUGGGGAUGAGCUCGCGGCCUAUCAGCCUGUUGGUGGGGUAAUGGCCUACCAAGGCGGCGACGGGUAGCCGGCCUGGGAGGGUGGACGGCCACAUUGGGACUGAGAUACGGCCCAGAAUCCUACGGGAGGCAGCAGUGGGGAAUAUUGCACAAUGGGCGGAAGCCUGAUGCAGCGACGCCGCGGGGGGGAUGACGGCCUUCGGGUUGUAAACUCCUUUCGACCGCGAGGAAGCCACCUGGUUGGAAGGGUGGUGACGGUAGUGGUAGAAGAAGCACCGGCUAACUACGUG